GACGAACGCUGGCGGCGUGCCUAAUACAUGCAAGUCGAACGCAGUGGGGACGGGUGAGUAACACGUGGGUAACCUCCCAUCAGAGGGGAUAACCGUUGGAAACAGGUGCUAAACUGAUACUGAUGGAUGGACCCGCGGUGCAUUAGCUAGUGGGUGAGGUAACGGCUCACCAAGGCCACGAUGCAUAGCCGACCUGAGAGGGUGAUCGGCCACACUGGGACUGAGACACGGCCCAGACUCCUACGGGAGGCAGCAGUAGGGAAUAUUCGGCAAUGGGCGAAAGUCUGACCGAGCAACGCCGCGUGAAUGAAGAAGGUUUUCGGAUCGUAAAACUCUGUUGUUAGAGAAGCGGUAUCUAACCAGGAAGCCACGGCUAACUACGUGCCAGCAGCCGCGGUAAUUC
This 403-nucleotide ribosomal RNA is filed under the name uncultured bacterium. Its description in RNAcentral is "partial 16S ribosomal RNA". It matches the Rfam family "Bacterial small subunit ribosomal RNA", at positions 28 to 526 of the family's 1533-position model. The record is from RNAcentral.